Long non-coding RNA from Mirounga angustirostris (Northern elephant seal), 7041 nucleotides. RefSeq lists it as uncharacterized. The transcript is spliced from 6 exons. Lineage: Eukaryota; Metazoa; Chordata; Mammalia; Carnivora; Phocidae. The record is from RefSeq and is a predicted model, not a curated record.
AGAAAACCCUUUGUCCUGAGAAGAAUAGAGCAAGGUAAAUGAGAAGAUUAGCUGGUUGCCACCAGCUCCGGUUUCCUGGCUGUAACUGAACUGCAUUCUGUUCAGCUGCAAAUGCUGUCAUUCCUCCUCACUGUCACCUCAAGGAGAUGUGUGGGGCACAGAUUUCAGCUGCCCCUGUGGGAGCUGAGUGCCUUGGGGAUCCUUCCUUCCGAUCCAGUUGCCCCUGUUGCUUUUCCCUAUCUACUCCAGAGGCCACCCUGUUGAAAAGAAAGCACAGGGCCCUUCCAGCUUAUUUACAUGGAUUUGUCAAAGUUGGCAGAAAAUGUCUUCCAGGACUUCAAUACAGUUGAUGAAGACACAGGAAGGAAACUCAGCAAUACUGUGGUGAAAAACUCCCUGAAAUAAGGGGCAAUUUUACUUGUAAAGAAUGGUGGGCAAAUAUCUUGUUUUAAGGGGGAAUUUAGAGAAUGCAUACGUGCUUUUGAAACCCUUCCCCUCAUGGCCUCGUUCAAGCAUCCUUCCCCUUGGAUAGUGUUCCCUGGUGCAGCGUUCUGGGGGCUUUCCCUCUUCUCUGACCGCUCAAGGCACUUUGUUGCAUCUCUUACAUGGUAACGACCCCUCUCUACUGUGUUUUAAGGUUUUUUUUUCUUUUCCCAACAUGCCUUAGAAACUUUGCUGUAUUGCAAAGUUCUUGCUGUAUUGCAAAGAGUUCUUUGGCUCGUCUGUCUUUCUAUCCGUAGCUCUAACACUGUGUCUGGCAUACAACAGGCAUCAAAUCAAUGCUUGUUGAAUGAAGGAACAGGACUGGGAAGGGAGGACUACUUGCAAGGACAAAUUAUUCAGAGGGAAGCUCUCCAGAAUACAAAUAGGAGACAAGCACUAGAACCAAAGACAUGAGAAAGACGCUAUAAGGAGCUUAAGUCUUGAAAGUCUCAAGUUUACACAUUCUCAGUUGUUUCACAAUCAAUUCAGUUUGAUUUAAUGUCAUGUGUUAAACAUCAUUCGUGGUAUGGCAUUGUGUGGGGAUGCUGUGUUGGUCUCAGCCUAUCAAUAGUGAUGCUAUUGGCUGGGAGCACCCUGGGGGCACUCACCUGGGCCUGUAUUACUUGUGACAAGCCCCCAUAGACAUUUUUCCAAUGUCUGGAGCCAAUGUUGGGGCUGGACCAGCCUUUAUGGUUCUUAUUACAUGACUGUAGGACACACCUCAGCAACAACCUUCGGGGAACUUUGAAGAACAAGAUUUAUUACUCACAGGUUCUGGAGGGUACAUGGUAUGCCAAAGCGCCCCACAGCAAGGUCAUGAGUAGGGAGAAAGCAUGUAGACCUAGGGCUCUGCCUUUAUUAGUGUCUGAGUGUGGGGUGUCUAGGGUUUAGCAGGUUCAUUCUUUUUUUUUUUAAUAUUUUGUUUAUUUAUUGGAGGGGGGGAAGAGAGCAUAAGCAGGGGGAGGGGCAGAGGGAGAGGGAGAGGCAGGCUCCCCACUAAGCAGGGAGCCUGACACAGGGCUCCAUCUCAGGAUCCCGAGAUCAUGACUUGAGCCGAAGGCAGUUGCUUAACCAACUGAGCCACCCAGGUGCCCCUAGCAGGUUCAUUCUUUAUCGGAGAAUUUAAAAACAUAAGAGUGGGAAUUAAGGGAAUGAGAAGGGAGACGCCAGGUCACUCAAGCGGUCAGUUACCUAGGUUUCUCCAGGGUGUUCUAAAAGGGGAAUUCAUGGAUGGGGGUGGCCUGCUUCUUGUACCUAUUUGAUUUGCCAGUAGCUGUGUCAUAUGGCUGGCACUAAGUUUCUUUUUUUUCUUUUUUUUAAAGAUUUUAUUUAUUUAUUUGACAGAGAGAGACACAGCGAGAGAGGGAACACAAGCAGGGGGAGUGGGAGAGGGAGAAGCAGGCUUCCCGCGGAGCAGGGAGCCCGAUGUGGGACUCGAUUCCAGGACCCUGAGAUCAUGACCUGAGCCGAAGGCAGACGCCUAACGACUGAGCCACCCAGGCGCCCCGGCACUAAGUUUCUUUAAGAUGGGUAUCUUUGAAAUGGACGCCUCAGCAAUCAAAAAGCUUAAGUCAGACACCCCAGCCCCAGCAAAAAUGCCCAAAGGAGGAGUGGUGAAUGAUUGUGAUAUCAAAUUCUGUGCUUUUAAAAAUCAGACCACUCUAGACAUGAAGAGAAUAACUUACACAAGUUUUAGGGAAGGAAGAAUGAAGAAGAAGCUGGGUUUUCUCCAUCUUUCAGGUUUCUUCUUUCUUUUUUCUAUUUUUUUUUAAGAUUUUAUUUAUUUAUGAGAUUGAGAGAGAGAAAGAGCACAAGCAGGGGGAGCAGCAGAGGGAGAGGGAGAAGCCGACCCCCUGCUCAGUGGGGAGCCUGACACCAGGCUCCAUCCCAGUACUCCAGGAUCAUGACCUGAGCUGAAGGCAACCGCUUCACAGACUGAGCCACCCAGGUGCCCCUUUCAGGUUUCUUCUUGAAACUAUAAGAAAUGUUCAUAACAGCUCCCCCCUCCCCCACCACUCUCACCCCAGCUUCCCUUCUCCCCUUGGCAAAUGUUCCCCUACCAAGGAUGUCCCAUUUAAAAAGUAGCAUUGUUCUACCUACUGCCUUCCCUGGGAUCUGAUUAGUCGGGGCCUGCGGGCUCUGGGGCCUUCAAUGGAUAAUUUCAGUGUAUGGUCUUCUGUUUACUUGCACUUUGGGAUCAGAACGUAAGUUAAAAAAUGUUUGCCCUUGAAAACACAUUAGAGAAUUAACUGCUGGUUUGAGAUGUCCUCUGCCAAGUUUGAGCCCCAAACACAUUUUAUACCUGAGUUAAGCCUCUGAAAAUGGAGUCCAGAACGGAAGCACAGAGCUGAGGUUUUCUCUGAUAAUAUGCAGGCCCAGCUCCUCGAGCAAGACAAACUCACACAGCGUAGAGAGCCAGGGGCAGGGGAAUAGUGGACAAUUUGAAGAAACAUUCCUUCAGGCACAUCUGUCCGUGCCCUCAGCUGCAUGAAGUAGUUAUAAAGAGCAGUUUCCUUGUUUUUUUUUCUUUCCCUUUGAGCCUGUACUUCUUUUAAAAUCUUAAUCUGAAAAUUAUACUAUUCAAAAUAAAAUUCAGAAAUCUGAAUCACCAAAUCACCAAAACAGCAACACAGAGCUGUGAUUGAUGAGGGACCUGAAGGCCUGUGUUUCGGUUGCAAAAUUUAAUUCUAGGACUUUAUUUUUGUUUUUGUUUUUUUUUAUAACUGUGUUUCUACUUCUUUUUCUUUCUUGUUGCUUUCCCCCCUCAAAACUAAAUUACAUCUUAGACUUUUGAAAUAGCUUCAGAGCAAAAGCCUGCAUUCUUAAAAAUAAUUCCACCUUCUCUGAAGGUGGGGUGUUGGAGUUUAUUUCAGGUUUUGAGGUAGGACGCACCUCCAGGCCCACAGCGAGGGACGAUGUCCAGCUGCCUUGGAGAGUUUCUCCCCCCUCUUUUGCCCUUUCACAGAUGUCCACGAGGACCCCAAACUCCCCUGUCCCCGUCCCUGCCAAAAGAACAUGUGUUUCUGUUGCUGGAAAGGGUGUCGGGCCUGCCAGCCAGAGCAUGGCGUCCCCAGCCUCUGCGUAUUGUCAUGAGCCUUAGUAUUUGCACUCUCCGUGGACGUUUCUGUGACAGACACUUGCCUCCCUCCCUGGGACUGCUUAACAGGCACAUUGCACAUCUCGUAGAGGGGUGGAGCUGGAAAUCCUGCUUGGGCAACGAGAACAUGAAUAAUCUCUUUCCUUUGUUGCGUCCAUUUCACCAAAUGUCCAGAACCUUGGGUAUAUGUUGGAGUCAAAGAUAUCACUCUCAGAGCCAAACUCAAUGCUCCCAGAACACCGGCUUCAAGAUGGGCUUAGUACUUGCCAUGGAAGGAUGGGAUGGGUAGGUAGAUCGUGCCUGCUUCAGGGCAGACUUCUGGGACCUGUUUGAGUUCAGAGAUGGCAGACAUUUUUGGUUGAACUAGCUGGUUUAAAGCUAAACCAGGUACCUCCUUUCUCAGACUUAUCGACACGUAUUCCCUGUCUUCAUGCUCUGUCUAUAAACCAACUCCUAGCUGCAUGCUCCAAGUCCCAAAUACCUAACCACAGCAUUCAAGACCCAUCAUGUCCGUCCCUAAUUGACAUUUUCUCCUAACUACAUCUCUCUGACUGGCCUUACAAUCCACUCUACUAUAACAACAUUACAUUUCUUUCCCUUGGAGGAAGCCAUUUAUAUUUUCAUCUCCACAUCUUUACUUACGUUGUACUCACUGUUUGGAAUGUCCCCCACCCAUCCUCGCCUUCUCUGCUGGUUAGUUCUAUGCACCAUUCAGGACCCAGCGGCAAUGUCACCUCCUCUGAAACCUCUCCUGUGUCCACAGUGAGGGUUAAUAACUCUCUUCUGUGGCCCUUGUACAUAUCACAGUCCUAUGUAGUCCAGCAGUAAACUAACUCAUUCCCUCCCACCAUCAUUAGAUUUGAGCUCUUUGAGGACAGGGGUGUGAGAUCCACCUGGACCAAGAAAACCCAACCAGGGAAGCACUUUGUUAAGGGUGCUCUCAUCUGGUUUUUUGCAUCUUACAUACUGAAAAAUGCAUAGAUCUUAAAUGUAUAGCUUGAUUAAUUUUUACAUAUAUAUGCAUCUCUGUCUUUAUCACUCUCUCCCACCAUCCAAAUAAAGAUAUUCAGAACAUGAUAAGAAUCCAAAAAGUCUCCCUUGGGCCCCUCCCAGCCAGUUAGUAACCCCCCUUACCCACCUCAGGCACCCACUAUCCUGACUUCUAUCACUAUAUAUUAAUGCUGCCUAUUUUGAGCUUCAUAUAAUAGGAUUAUAUAGUAUACACCCAUUUGUGCCUGACAUUUUUCACUCGACAUUGUAUCUGUGAGAUUUAUCUAUGUUGCUCCAUUUAUCAGUGGCAUUUGUUACUUUUUAUUCCUGAGCAGUAUUCCACUGUAUAAAUAUACCACUUGCUACUUCUUAUGGACAUUUGUAUUGUUUCUCAGCUUUAGUUCUUAGAAAUAAAGCAGCUAUGAAUAUCCUUACACCUGUAUGUGCUUUAGUCGUCAUGAGUGCUAUAUCCAGGACAGAGUUGCUGGGUUAAGGGCCAUUGUGUAUAUUUAGCUCUAGUAGGUUCUACGAACCUUGUUCCGAAGUAGAUGUACCAAUUCCCACUCCCAUCAGCAAUGUAAUAGUUCCAAUUGCUCCAUGUUCUUGCUGAGCCUUGGUGUAAUCAAUCUAUUACAGUUUAGCCAUUUGGGGAGGGUGUUAUGAUAGCUCACUACGGUCUUAAUUAGAUUUUUUCUCCCGGUGACUGAUAAAGUUGAGCAUCUUUUCUUAUGUUUAUUGGCUUUUUGACAUUCUCUUUUGUGAGGUGUCCAUUUAUGUUUUUUUUAGGUCUUAACUUGGAACUAUGGUAGCCAGUAAUAUUCACUCAGUCCAGGAUUGUGUCAAUAACAUUGCUUGAAAAGCUUCUUUAAUACAAGGCCUUAUAAAGGCAUCUAAAGAGAAAACUGAGAUAAAUUGAACUGAGAUAAAGUUCACUGUAUUUUAACUCAGACAUCAUUAGAUACAAUUGAUAGAAAUUUCUAAUCGUUUCUCCUGUGACUCUGGCAAAAGCCCUUAAUCCUUAAUCAAUUCUUCAAAGAGUUGGGUCUGUCCUGUUCCAAGUCUAGAUCUCUUUUCUUUGGGGUUCAAAUUCUACAGACCAUCUUCUACAUAUAUUAUUGUAAUUAGAUCAGGUCUACUUUUUGUAUUGGGAGCUUUAUUACAACCAUCAGUUAAUUGUUCUACCAUUGCUCAAAGUUGGUGGUUUAAGUACAAGAACUUUAUCAAGUCAAUUCUGUUGAAAGGAGGCUUCUUUCCUCUGGUAUUCUCUGUUUAAUGCCAUCGCUACUUUUUUCUUUUCCAGCAUCGGCCUCUCCCUUGAGACCUGUAGUUUCUCAUCUCUCUUUGUGGGCUCCCUGGUAGCAGAUCAAGGAUUUUACUCUUUAGUUACUUGACUUUCAAUAUCAUGUGGGCCAUUGCCCAUAAGUAGUUGGUGCUCAAUAAUUGUUGACUUACAUUCAACUGGGAUUUGAAAGGUGUGGGAUGUUAUCUGUACUGGUGUUUUCUUGGUAGGUCUGCCUUCAUGAGAGAACUUUAGGGCAAGCCAUGUACCUUUGUGACUGUGACUCAAACAAUAGUAGGAUCUGUCUUGAUCUAAAAUAUGCAAAACAUUUCUAGCUCCUACCUGGCUCGAUAGUUCACCACCAUUAGAAUACAGUCUUUGAGUUAAGUCUCUGACUUUAGACAUCUCUUAUUAUAUUAUUUCUAUGCUAUCUAGAAGGAGAACACAAACUCAGUGGCGUCCAUUCACAUUUUAGUAAAGGUUCACUUAUUAGUUAUCUGGCCUCAGAAAGAAGGCCCCUAAAGAACGGGACAAAGAUGAGGUGAGUCUGGAUGUGGAGGCAGGGUUUCACACCCAGGAGAAAUGCCAGGGGAGAUAGAUGAGUGCAGUAGUCAGCCAGGGGCACCAUAAUCAUGGGACCUUCUCCAUUCAUUCUUGGGAGUCAGGAAACCUGGGUACAAGUCACAGGUAGCUAUUUUUUGCUAAGCAACUUUGGAUACGUUACUUCACUUCUCUGCAACUUGGUUUUCCUUUCAGUAACAUGGAGAUAAUAUCUCCUCUGCUUAACUCACAGGGUGGUUGUGGGGACCAAGUAAAAUAAUGUAUGUGAAAGUGUCUUGUAUAACCUAAAGGACUAUCACACGUGUUAUAUUUAUUUAAUAAUAAUAAUAAUAAUAAUUACUGUUGGAGUGCAUAAAAAACAGAGAGGCGUUGGAGACAAAUUGCUUACUUUAUAAUUUUACUCUGGGCUGUGGCUUGUGAAUGAAAAGACUGGCUGAUGAACCCUUAUCUAUAUGGAGAGUUUUAUAUUAUCAUGCAAGCAAUAGCAGAAAGGUUCAAAUGCAUGUGCAUAUUGUACAAAUGAACCCAUUAGUGAAAAAUUAUUUUUUUAAUUAAAAAUAAAUGUAUGAGGUGGCUUGCUUUAUUUCUCGGAUGUUGAUGGUUUGGGUGGUUAUUCAUCCUCCGUGAAUUU